UACGUAGGGUGCGAGCGUUGUCCGGAAUUAUUGGGCGUAAAGGGCUCGUAGGCGGUCUGUUACGUCGGGAGUGAAAACUCAGGGCUCAACCCUGAGCCUGCUUCCGAUACGGGCAGACUAGAGGUAUGCAGGGGAGAAUGGAAUUCCUGGUGUAGCGGUGAAAUGCGUAGAUAUCUGGAGGAACACCGGUGGCGAAGGCGGCAUCCUGGACCAACACUGACACUGAUGAGCGAAAGCCAGGGGAGCAAACGGG
Molecule: ribosomal RNA, 253 nt
Filed under: uncultured bacterium
Lineage: Bacteria
Description: partial 16S ribosomal RNA
Rfam family: Bacterial small subunit ribosomal RNA
Source: RNAcentral